AGGCUGGAAUUGGGAGCCCCAUUAUUGCUGCUGAUGGAAAAUUCAUAGGCAUGAGCUUUUUUUAUAAGGAUGGAGCUCCUUUCUUACCAAUCACUAUCCUCCAGAAAUGCUUAAAGCACUUCAAUGAAUUUGGGAGAGUUCUGCAGCCAUGGCAUGGUCUGAGGACUGGAUCACUUCAAGCUGAAAAACUGUGUGUCCGUGAAGAAGUACAUGACAGCUUCCCCCAUGCACAUGGCAUUUAAGUACAGAAGAUACUUGCUCCAAUUGUUGAUGAUGGUCACAUUUCCUUGGUUGUUGUUUCCGUCAAGAUGAAGACGAAGUAUGUCCUUUACUCUGCUCCAGGUUUCCAUCAAAAGCAGGCAAAUACUGUGUUAAAGGGGCUGGAGUCAUAUUUGAGUAAGCACGGCAUCGACAUCUCUUCGUAUGCUCACGAAAUUCCAGAUGUUGAGCCUCAAGACAACAAGAAAUGAAGAUAUAUGGCAUCACCUAGGCUGAGGUGUUAAAGUUUAGAAAGAAGCUUGUAAAACGCCUCCUGGAUGAUCCAAGGACCAAAGUCAAUGAAGCUGACAGUACAGUUGACACUGCCCACAGUACUGACACUGACAAGGUUGAGGAAGUUCCUCCUCCACACA
This is a long non-coding RNA of Triticum aestivum (bread wheat), 632 nucleotides long. RefSeq lists it as uncharacterized. The transcript has 5 exons. The record is from RefSeq and is a predicted model, not a curated record. NCBI's taxonomy places the organism in Eukaryota, Viridiplantae, Streptophyta, Magnoliopsida, Poales, Poaceae.